Molecule: ribosomal RNA, 496 nt
Filed under: uncultured bacterium
Lineage: Bacteria
Description: partial 16S ribosomal RNA
Rfam family: Bacterial small subunit ribosomal RNA
Source: RNAcentral
AUGAACGCUGGCAGCGUGCCUAAUACCUGCAAGUCGAGCGAACAGAUGAGGAGCUUGCUCCUCUGACGUUAGCGGCGGACGGGUGAGUAACACGUGGAUAACCUACCUAUAAGACUGGGAUAACUUCGGGAAACCGGAGCUAAUACCGGAUAAUAUAUUGAACCGCAUGGUUCAAUAGUGAAAGACGGUUUUGCUGUCACUUAUAGAUGGAUCCGCGCCGCAUUAGCUAGUUGGUAAGGUAACGGCUUACCAAGGCAACGAUGCGUAGCCGACCUGAGAGGGUGAUCGGCCACACUGGAACUGAGACACGGUCCAGACUCCUACGGGAGGCAGCAGUAGGGAAUCUUCCGCAAUGGGCGAAAGCCUGACGGAGCAACGCCGCGUGAGUGAUGAAGGUCUUCGGAUCGUAAAACUCUGUUAUUAGGGAAGAACAAAUGUGUAAGUAACUAUGCACGUCUUGACGGUACCUAAUCAGAAAGCCACGGCUAACUACGUG